Molecule: ribosomal RNA, 391 nt
Filed under: uncultured bacterium
Lineage: Bacteria
Description: bacterial SSU rRNA
Rfam family: Bacterial small subunit ribosomal RNA
Source: RNAcentral
GACGAACGCUGGCGGCGUGCUUAACACAUGCAAGUCGAGCGGUAAGGCCCUUUCGGGGGUACGACGAGCGGCGAACGGGUGAGUAACACGUGGGUGACCUGCCCUCAGCUCUGGGAUAAGCCUGGGAAACCGGGGUCUAAUACUGGAUAUGACUCCAUGACGCAUGUUGUGGGGUGGAAAGCCUUGUGCGGCUGAGGAUGGGCCCGCGGCCUAUCAGCUUGUUGGUGGGGUGAUGGCCUACCAAGGCGACGACGGGUAGCCGGCCUGAGAGGGCGACCGGCCACACUGGGACUGAGACACGGCCCAGACUCCUACGGGAGGCAGCAGUGGGGAAGUCUUGCGCAAUGGGCGAAAGCCUGACGCAGCGACGCCGCGUGAGGGAUGACGGCCU